AGAAGGAGCCAGGGCUAGAGUCCUGGAAGGUGGCAGUCAGGUCGCAGGGCCACAGCAGUCACUCUGCGACUCUCUCUUCCGGUGUUUCUCCAGCGCCAAGCGGGAGAAGACGGAGCCUGGGAGCUGGGACUGGAGGAGCGGGAAGCGCAGUAUCGGGACCACGGCUCUGGGACCAGGAAAAACGCAGACUCUCCAGAGUCAAUGUCUACUUCAGCCAGCUCAAGGGCGCGACAACCUGGCGCCGAGCAUCUCAGGCCGCCGCGGGGACCCCCCCUAAGGGACUCGGGAACACCUGCCUACCCUAGAAGAGGCGGAGAAUAACCCCGUAGGGAGUUAAGCGGCCUCUGCCUACAGCGUUCCUCCCGCCUCCACGGCGCCGAGCCCUGAUUGACGUUCAGCCAGGCCAAUCAUAGCCUGUGUCUGAGGCGCGCGGAGCUGGAGCGCCCAGGGCAUGUCCGCCGAUCCCAAGGAGGCAAUCUGUCAGGCGCCGCCCGGGCGGCAGUAUGCCUGAGGGGGUCCUCCGUGUUCGCGCCUCCCGCCGCCUGCACUGAAAGGUCUGUACCUGAGCCUGGAUACUUGAACAGAGGCAGACACUGCGGCUCAAAACCCCAAGGGUAGGUACCUAUUGUGCGGAGUCUCGGAACGCCUGCCUGGAAGAAGAGUUCCGGCGGCUCCCCGAACGCUUGGAGAAAGCGCUUGGAUGCAGUUGCAGGAAUAUCCUAGCUCUGAGACAAAAAUUGGGAACCUCAGCAUGAGUUUGUCACCUGAAUGAAAUAAAAAAAAUCACGUUGAAGGCUGGUGCAGUAACAUGUGCCUGUAGUCCCAGCUACUCUGGAGGCUGAGUCAGGAGGAUCACUUGAGACCAGAAGUUCAGGAAUUCAAGACUGGCUUGAGCAACAUAGCAAGACUUCAUUUCAAAACAAACAGAAAAAAGCCACCACCUUCAGUAUUUCUUGCCAAAGCAAAGGAGCCAUUUGUUCUUUACGAUGGUCAGGAAAGGAAGCAUCAAGGUCAUCAAAUGAAAAAUUUUCAGCAUUUCAGCCUCUCUGCUCAGGGAAAUAUCUGAAUCUAGAAUAUCACAACAUGAGCCAAAACCGCCCCAUUUCUCAUGCCACAUGUCACUCUUAACACAAGGUUACUCAACCUCGAGCAUGGUUGGCAUUUGGGGCUGAAUAAUUCUUUUUUGUAGGGGGCUGUCCUGGGCAUUGUAGGAUGCUCAUGAGCUACCUCAGUCUCUACCACCCACUAGAUGCCAGUAGCAUUGACCCCUGAUCUCUCUACCCAAGUUGUGACAACUAAAACCAUCUCUGGAUAAUGGAGGAACCUUAAAUGCAUAUUGCUAAGGAAAAGCCAAUCUGAAAGGAUUACAUAUUGUAUGAGUCCAACUAUAUGGUAAUCUGGAAAAGGCAAAACCAUGGAGACAGUGAAAAGGUAGUGGUUACCAGUGGUCCAUGGGAAGGGUUGGAUGAAUAGGUGGAGCACAGAGGAUUUUUAAGGCAGUGAAACUAUUCUGAAUGAUACUGUAAUGGUGGAUACAUGUCAUACCUUUGUCAAAACCAAUAAAAUAUAACAACCAAUAAAACUGCACAAAGAGUGAACCCUAAUGUAAACUAUGGACUUAAUAAUGUAUCAAUAUUGGCUCACCAAUUUUAACAAAUGUACCACACUAAUGCAAGAUGUUACUAAUAGUGGAAACUGGAGGGAAGAGGGCUUGAGGGGACAUACGGGAACUCUCUGUAAUUCCUGUUCAGUUUUUCUGUAACUGUUAAACUGUCCAAAAAAAGUCUGUUUUUAUAAAUGGAGGCAUGGUUUUAUAUGGACUAAAAUACUAUGAUUGCCUUUUUAUUUUACACAUGGUGAAAUUAGAGCAGGACAUAUUUUAAACUCAAAAUUCACAAAAUUAAUUUAUGAAAAUGUUUACCCAGAUCAAGAAUAUUAAAGAAACUUAGAUUAA
Molecule: long non-coding RNA, 1954 nt
Organism: Homo sapiens (human)
Lineage: Eukaryota; Metazoa; Chordata; Mammalia; Primates; Hominidae
Source: Ensembl